GUUUGAUGCUGGAUCAGAUUGGACGCUGGCGGCAUGCCUUACACAAAUGCAUCGGAACGUACCUUUCAGUGGGGGAUAACGUAGCGAAAGUUACGCUAAUACCGCAUAUUCUGUGAGCAGGAAAGCAGGGGAUCGCAAGACCUUGCGCUGAUUGAGCGGCCGAUGUCAGAUUAGCUAGUUGGUGAGGUAAAGGCUCACCAAGGCGACGAUCUGUAGCGGGUCUGAGAGGAUGAUCCGCCACACUGGAACUGAGACACGGUCCAGACUCCUACGGGAGGCAGCAGUGGGGAAUUUUGGACAAUGGGGGCAACCCUGAUCCAGCCAUGCCGCGUGAGUGAAGAAGGCCUUCGGGUUGUAAAGCUCUUUCGGCCGGGAAGAAAUCGUAUGGGCUAAUACCCUGUGCGGAUGACGGUACCGGCAUAAGAAGCACCGGCUAACUACGUGCCAGCAGCCGCGGUAAUACGUAGGGUGCGAGCGUUAAUCGGAAUUACUGGGCGUAAAGCGUGCGCAGGCGGUUUUGUAAGACAGGCGUGAAAUCCCCGGGCUCAACCUGGGAACUGCGCUUGUGACUGCAAGGCUAGAGUACGGCAGACGGGGGGUGGAAUUCCACGUGUAGCAGUGAAAUGCGUAGAGAUGUGGAGGAACACCGAUGGCGAAGGCAGCCCCCUGGGUCGAUACUGACGCUCAUGCACGAAAGCGUGGGUAGCAAACAGGAUUAGAUACCCUGGUAGUCCACGCCCUAAACGAUGUCAACUAGGUGUUGGGGUGGGUAAAACCAUUUAGUACCGUAGCUAACGCGUGAAGGUUGACCGCCCUGGCGGAGUACGGCCGCAAGGUUAAAUACGUCAACAGGAAUUCGAACGGGGACCCGCACAAGUCGGAUGGCAUGAUGGUGGAUUAAUUCGAAUGCAAUCGCGAAACAACCUUUAC
This 930-nucleotide ribosomal RNA is filed under the name uncultured Dechloromonas sp. RNAcentral's name for it is "bacterial SSU rRNA". It matches the Rfam family "Bacterial small subunit ribosomal RNA", at positions 11 to 975 of the family's 1533-position model. The record is from RNAcentral. Lineage: Bacteria; Pseudomonadati; Pseudomonadota; Betaproteobacteria; Rhodocyclales; Azonexaceae.